This 1288-nucleotide long non-coding RNA is filed under the name Olea europaea subsp. europaea. The record is from RNAcentral. Lineage: Eukaryota; Viridiplantae; Streptophyta; Magnoliopsida; Lamiales; Oleaceae.
AUUUUAUGGAAGACUAAUAGAAUGUAAUUUAAUGGGAGUCAAACGGGGGCUUAUAUGAUUAUUUAUUUUCAAUUCUAUAACAAUUUAUAAGAAACUUUUGUAUAAAUAUAAAAAACCAUCAAUAUGGGUCAAUAAAAUCUCCUCUAAUUCGUAUUAAUUUGUGCAUCACUUGAUAAUCUUUUUAGCAUUUUUGUAAAAUUUGUUAGAAGUUAUAUUAAUGGUGUUUGUUAGACAAUUUUUAAUUAAAAAAAAUAGCAGAUUUUAAUAAAAUUUAAUGAAAGAAGUAGUUAAAAACUAAUAAAAAUGAAUUUUUAUGAAUGUUUGAUUGAAAUGCAUGGUUAAUUUUAACCUCAACUUUUUGAGUUAUCCAAUCAAGCACAGAAUAGCCCCAAGAAUCGAGCUAGUUGUAUAAUGAAUUUGUACAAUUAGUUUGAUAAUGUAUGAGGUGUAUAGCUUGCCAACUCGCACAUAUCAAACUAAUUGACGUAGUACAUCACAACUACUGUAGUUUUAUUACAUUUAUGUUUCCUAGGAGUUUAUCUUUUAAUGUUUAUUUGUUUAGUUGUAAUAGGACUUUUAUAUUUUAUUUGAUUAGGACUUUUAUAUUUUAGUUAAUUAGGAUUAUAGUUUUGAUUAGUUUUAAUUUCCUAAUACUAUUAGAAGUAGAGAAUAAUUUUGCCUGUAAAUAUAGGGGUAAUGUAAAAUUUUCAUAUCAUCAAUCAUUAGUCAAAUAAUAAAAGCAAGUUAUUCCUACAUAUUUCUUAUGUCAAUUCUUAGUAUAAGAAUUUUAUGAACACUUCCAUACCAAAAUUGGUAUCAGAGCAGAGAAAUUUUCUUAAUCCGAUGGCUAACAAUGGUCCUUGUGGCGGUCAAAUCGUCGACAAUGAAUGGAGGCUCAACAAUCUCGAAGAACGAAUUGAGGGAAUCGACAAAACCCUUCACAACUACAUUGAGUCUUGAAAGGGAUCGCGAGCUCAUGGAAAAGCAAGCUGACGAGAAUUUGUAGACUUCAACUGAUAUGAAUGUUAGUUAUUUCAACAAGCAUAAAACACGGCAACAUGUGGCUAGAGAAUUUCCUCGAGUCUCAGCCAAGUUCAUAAACACACAAGUUAUCAAAGAUUCUUUUCUUCAACAAAACUUGAGGACGACUUUUUUUCAAGUGGAGGGAAUUGAUGUAAUACAUCACAACUAUUAGAGUUUUACUACAUUUAUAUUUCCUAAGAGUUUAUCUUUUAAUUAUGUUUAUCUAUUUAGUUGUAAUAGGACUUAUAUUUUAUUUGAUUAAGGA